AAUUGGCACUGCUUCUGUUUUGCUAUAAAAAGCUGUGUAUAGUCCAUAUUCCAUAUUAUCUUUUAAGCCAUGGGCUCCAAACUUGAAAGCUUUGGAUUGUAAGAGAAGAGACACGGCAUGUGCAAGAUUGAUAGUGUUCAUCAUGCGCAUGGGUCAUUGCGUCAAGAUUUGGACUCUGGUGGUAGAGGUAUAUAUCCAGUAGUAGUGGGGUUGGGGUGGCAGAUGCUGCCUCUUCUUCUCUCUUCCACUCUCCAGCAAUAUUACCUUCUCUCUUUCUUUUCAUAUACCCAGUCACCAAUCAAAUCAUAUCAAAUAUGUGUUCAUUAUUGAUACAAUGGAGAGUCCCACAACUGGAAAGUGUUCCCACCCAAUCAACACUAUGGUCCUUUUUUUCCUUUUUUAUUGUGUUUUUGAUGUUCAUGAUUUGUGAAUAUUACAU
Molecule: unclassified non-coding RNA, 439 nt
Filed under: Hevea brasiliensis (rubber tree)
Lineage: Eukaryota; Viridiplantae; Streptophyta; Magnoliopsida; Malpighiales; Euphorbiaceae
Source: RNAcentral